Molecule: ribosomal RNA, 459 nt
Filed under: uncultured bacterium
Lineage: Bacteria
Description: partial 16S ribosomal RNA
Rfam family: Bacterial small subunit ribosomal RNA
Source: RNAcentral
CCUACGGGGGGCUGCAGUGAGGAAUAUUGGUCAAUGGGCGAGAGCCUGAACCAGCCAAGUCGCGUGAAGGAUGACGGAUCUAUUGUUUGUAAACUUCUUUUUUAUGGGAAUAAAGUGAGGAACGUGUUCCGUUUUGUAUGUACCAUAUGAAUAAGCAUCGGCUAACUCCGUGCCAGCAGCCGCGGUAAUACGGGGGAUGCAAGCGUUAUCCGGAUUUAUUGGGUUUAAAGGGUGCGUAGGUGGUCCGGAAAGUCAGCGGUAAAAGCCCGGGGCUCAACCCCGGCGAGCCGUUGAAACUGUCGGACUGGAGACGGCGAGAAGUACGCGGAAUGCGCGGUGUAGCGGUGAAAUGCAUAGAUAUCGCGCAGAACUCCGAUUGCGAAGGCAGCGUACCGGCGCCGGACUGACGCUGAGGCACGAAAGCGUGGGUAUCGAACAGGAUUAGAUACCCGGGUAGUC